UUGGGCGUAAAGCGCAGGUAGGCGGUUUGAUUAGUCAGAUGUCAAAGACCAGGGCUCAACCCUGGGAAGGCAUUUGAAACGGUCAGACUAGAGAAUGUAAGAGAUUGCUGGAAUUCAUGGUGUAGUAGUGAAAUGCGUUGAUAUCAUGAGGAACACUCAAGGCGAAGGCAAGCAAUUGGUGCAUUUCUGACGCUGAGCUGCGAAAGCGUGGGGAGCGAACGGGAUUAGAUACCCCGGUAGUCCACGCCGUAAACGAUGCUUACUAGGUGUAGGGAGAAUCGACCCUUUCUGUGCCGUAGCUAACGCGUUAAGUAAGCCGCCUGGGAAGUACGAGCGCAAGCUUAAAACUCAAAGGAAUAGACGGGGAUCCGCACAAGUGGUGGAGCAUGUGGUUUAAUUCGAUACUAAGCGAAACACCUCACCAAGGUUUGAAAUCUAGCUGCAGAGCCCAGAAAUGGGAUGUCCUUCGAGGGUGCUAGACCAGGUGCUGCAUGGUCGUCGUCAGCUCGUGUCGUAAGAUGUUCCGUUAAGUCGGGAAACGAGCGCAACCCCUGUGGAGUGUUAGAUAUGUCACUCCAGACUGCCCUCUCAUUUGAACGCAAGCGAAAGUUUGUAGGCAAGUGAGAGGGA
RNAcentral lists this ribosomal RNA (630 nucleotides) under uncultured bacterium. RNAcentral's name for it is "bacterial SSU rRNA". It matches the Rfam family "Bacterial small subunit ribosomal RNA", at positions 554 to 1182 of the family's 1533-position model. The record is from RNAcentral.